AUUGAACGCUGGCGGCAUGCCUUACACAUGCAAGUCGAACGGCAGCGGGCCUUCGGGUGCCGGCGAGUGGCGAACGGGUGAGUAAUGCAUCGGAACGUGCCAUUGAGUGGGGGAUAACGUAGCGAAAGUUACGCUAAUACCGCAUAUUCUGUGAGCAGGAAAGCAGGGGACCGCAAGGCCUUGCGCUCUUUGAGCGGCCGAUGUCAGAUUAGCUAGUUGGUGAGGUAAAGGCUUACCAAGGCGACGAUCUGUAGCGGGUCUGAGAGGAUGAUCCGCCACACUGGAACUGAGACACGGUCCAGACUCCUACGGGAGGCAGCAGUGGGGAAUUUUGGACAAUGGGCGCAAGCCUGAUCCAGCCAUGCCGCGUGAGUGAAGAAGG
RNAcentral lists this ribosomal RNA (382 nucleotides) under uncultured bacterium. RNAcentral's name for it is "bacterial SSU rRNA". It matches the Rfam family "Bacterial small subunit ribosomal RNA", at positions 30 to 414 of the family's 1533-position model. The record is from RNAcentral.